This 213-nucleotide non-coding RNA is filed under the name Hyphomicrobium nitrativorans NL23. The record is from RNAcentral. Lineage: Bacteria; Pseudomonadati; Pseudomonadota; Alphaproteobacteria; Hyphomicrobiales; Hyphomicrobiaceae. RNAcentral also lists the same sequence under 1 other name.
CUUGCCUGUCGCUGCUCAGGUUCUACGGCGCAUGCGCUGUAGGUAGGGAAUGCGGUACGCAGAUCGAUAAUCUGCAAAUCCGCAGCUGCCCCCGCAACUGUAAGCGGUGAGCUGCUUCGCACGAAGCCACUGGUGGCCAUCGAGGCCGCCGGGAAGGCGCGAAGCAGCGUUAUAACCGCAAGCCAGGAGACCUGCCUGAGCAUGGUCGCUCUU